UGUUUACACCUAUUGUUUCUCGGGGCUGCAGUUCCUCUGAGCUCCACAAGAUGGUGAUCUCACUUCUACCAAGACAGGAAGUCUCUAUGGAAUACAGACAGGAAGUUUCGGGUGAGAGGUCAGUCAGGAGGAAGAAGAGAGGAGACAUUGUUAGAAGAGGCAGCAGAGGAGGGAACCUUCAUAGAUGACGGCACAAAUGAAGAUGAAGGAGGACCAGGGUCACAUGACUGAGAAGAUACUAAACCUCACCCUGGAGAUCAUCUACCUGCUGACCGGAGAGAGAUUUCCUCUGGUGAAGUCA
Rana temporaria (common frog) is the source of this 301-nucleotide long non-coding RNA. RefSeq lists it as uncharacterized. Lineage: Eukaryota; Metazoa; Chordata; Amphibia; Anura; Ranidae. The record is from RefSeq and is a predicted model, not a curated record. The transcript is spliced from 3 exons.